CCUGAACUGUAUGUUUUGAAUGGCUCAGGAAGGGCCAAAUCCCAAAUGAUGCUGAGAGGUUUGUCCCCAAUGAAAUUAUCAAUCCUUGCAGAGAUACCCAAUAUCCAAUCUGGAUGCAGUGAAGCGUUCUAUAUCUUUUCUGACAGGUUAACAUCCUUUUCCAAGUAGGUGAAUCAUUGGAUUUAGGUUGCACAACAGUAGCAUGAGUAUCAUGAGUGACAGCUCGUAGGCGGCAAAAGUGAGUUCCUAGCUUAAUCCCCCCAAGUUCUCUUAACUGGUAUGAGCUUGAAUUGAAGACUUGUGCGAUCUUCUGCUAGAGGGGAAUCCAACCCUGUUAUUUUUUUUAGAUUGAUAAAUAAUUCAAGGGGCUAUAGAAAAGUCGAUAAGAAAAUUGAAGCUACGAUUGUUAACAAACCUUGAUCAAUCCUGUCUCUGUACCGCAUAGAAUCAUGUCGUUGGCUGAGAGUAGGCUUGUUAUCUUGCUACCAGCUGAUAGUCUGCCAACUCUGUGUUGUGUCCCUCUCAACCAUAUCUGCUUGCAUAGAAAUGACUCAGUUGAUGGCACCAGAUUGUUAGAAAAGACUCAACAGCCAAAUGAUUAUUACAUUUAAUAUAUUGUAAAUCUUUGACCGCAUGGUAGCAACUAUAUUACUAUUAUUAUUAUUUUUUUUUUGUCGUAUAGCGUGUCCUUAUACUUUGUAUUAGGUUGCCCUAGUUACUAUGUUAAUGAAGGAUCUGAGGGAGAGCCCUCUUCAGCCUGCAAUAAAAGACAGAGAAGUGUGAGAUCUCCUGUCGUUAAACUUGAUUAUAAUGGAAACUUAGCAGUGGCAAAGUAGAUAUAGCUUUCACAUUGAGGGUGAACCAUUAUGAAACAUUUCUCAUUUCUUUUCUGUUUUAUUAUUGUUCUUGGGAUUAGGGAUUAAGGUUUAAUCUAUCACAGUAAAUACAAUGCAUUGGUUACCUGUAGGCUGCUCAUUGAUGUGCUGCAGUUUAGGUAUAUAAAAUCCUCCACUACUUCCAUCGCAAGAAUGCUUGCUCCCUUCUCUGGCACCACAGAUAUUUGGGGACUGUUGUUUUUUCUCCAGUCCUGGAUUGGUUGCCCAAUCAAUAAAAAAGCAUUUACAUUAACUCAAAAAUUCCUAAUAGCAUUCAGCCAUGUCUGAGGAGUUUGACGCCUUGUCAAGAAAUGGCAUGUUGAAGCUUGUCCAUCCCCUCCUAUACUAAGAUGUUGUCGAUCGCAAAUGAGUUUUUUCAUUUCAUACGUAUACCUGAUGGUUCUCUAUAACACAUAAAGGCCCAUCUAGUAGCCAAGGAUUUUCAUCAGAGUCCGGAUGCCAAUGAUGAUGAAUUGUUUAGUUUGAUUGUCAAACAUAUGACAGUACCAUUCAUUUUUAGACUCUCACCUUGGCAUAAAAUGGCCACUUAGUUAGCUUGAUAUUAAUAAUUCUAAUACGCAUUGCCACCGAAGUUCAAGUUAUUAUCCAUGUGGCAUCCCAUAUGGAACCAUGUCAGAAGCAGUCCACAUAAUCAAGGUAAAAGAAAACCGAAGCCUAUGAAGAAAUAGUGCUUCAACUGAAGCACUGUAUAAUAAUUCAAAGUAACCUGUAUGCUUGAAUCCAUGCAGCCUAUAUACAACUUCCCCUAGGCUUCCCUCAUGCACUUCACGCAUUUACUCUUGAAAACAUCAUUAACUUUUCUUGAUGCAUCAAAAACCUGUAGACGAUCGUUUCAUUGGAGGUAUGCAUUCAUUUUUCUUGCAUCUCGUAAUUCACAUGCUCUAUUGUUAAUGUCACUAUUGUUAUAGUUGUACCUUCAUUUUAUGGCUUUGGGUAGUUGCGAAAAUCAGUUCAC
Molecule: long non-coding RNA, 1851 nt
Filed under: Olea europaea subsp. europaea
Lineage: Eukaryota; Viridiplantae; Streptophyta; Magnoliopsida; Lamiales; Oleaceae
Source: RNAcentral